CGCCGCAGUUCCCCGGCGGCGCUGGAAGAUGACGACCUGCUGGGGGAGAUCCUCCUCCGUCUCCCUCCUAUGCCGUCCUCCCUCCCGCGCGCCUCCGCUGUCUCCAAGCGCUGGCGGGGCCUCGUCACCGACCACGGAUUCCUCCGCCGCUUCCACGCGCACCAUCGGGAGCCGACCCUCCUCGGCGCCUUCUUACAUCAUCCCGGUGAUAAGCCCAAAUUUACUCCUAUCCUGCCCGCUCCGGACCGCAUCCCUCCUCCGUACCUCGACAAAGGGGCCCGCUUGCUCAGUUGCCGCCACGGCCGCUUCCUCAUCAUACACCGGGAGCGCGUGGAUGUUUUCGUGUGCGACCACACCACCAGCAGCCAUCAUCGUGUGCCAAUUCUACCUGAGUUCAAGGGGCGUUACAUCAAUGGGGCGGUGCUAUGUGCUUCCCGCGAACGGGGCCACGUGCACGGCGAUUGCCACACCACCCUCUUUAAGGUGGUCUUGCUACUUGUGUACGCUAAGAAUGCUCGACCUCUCACCUCUGUUUAUUCCUCUGAGGCUGACACAUGGGCCGAUCUCAUCUCAGCAGAUGUUCGGUAUCAUGGUUGUUUUGACGAUUAUUUUAGCACCCUUGUUGGCAAUGUACUUUACUGGUCAUUUAAGUAUGUGAUGAAGGGUAUACUUGGGUUUGAUUUGGAAAGGCAAAUCCUUGAUGUGAUCGAGGGGCCUCCCCAUAUGUAUCAUUCAGGGAACCAUCAGAUCAUCCAGGCAGAGGAUGGCGCAAGGAAUGUGAAUUGCCACGGUAUAUCCACAUGGAUGUUGUGGAAGACCAUUAAGAUGCAUAAAAUUCUUGGGAUCCCUCCUCAGGUCGAGGGGGAGAAGACAUGGCUGAAAUUUAUACUAGGAUAUGUUGAGGAUACCGACGGGAUAUUUUUAUAUGUGAACGGGAGUGUCUAUAUGGUUCAACUAGAGUCUAUGCAAUCUAGGAAGCUUGGCGACGCCCGUAAUACUAUUUCUUACUGUCAUUCUUUCAGGAGUGUCUAU
RNAcentral lists this ribosomal RNA (1032 nucleotides) under Triticum aestivum (bread wheat). Its description in RNAcentral is "partial small subunit ribosomal RNA". The record is from RNAcentral. Lineage: Eukaryota; Viridiplantae; Streptophyta; Magnoliopsida; Poales; Poaceae.